Molecule: unclassified non-coding RNA, 178 nt
Filed under: uncultured Rozellomycota
Lineage: Eukaryota; Fungi; Rozellomycota
Description: uncultured Cryptomycota sequence contains ITS1
Source: RNAcentral
CAAAUCGGUGGGUGGUUGGGGGAAGUGGAGGGAGGGGAAAGUGUGGCUUGUGCCGUGCGGUUUUGCUGCGUGCUCCUGUCCUCUGCUCUGCCUGCCACCGACAUUUGGUCGGGAUGCUCGUCCCGGAUCAUAUUCACGCUUGUGCUGUUUGACAGAGUAACAACAACCGUAAUGUUGA